Vicia villosa (hairy vetch) is the source of this 1350-nucleotide long non-coding RNA. RefSeq lists it as uncharacterized. The record is from RefSeq and is a predicted model, not a curated record. The transcript is spliced from 4 exons. NCBI's taxonomy places the organism in Eukaryota, Viridiplantae, Streptophyta, Magnoliopsida, Fabales, Fabaceae.
AUGUAUCAAAUUAAUGCUCCAUUAAACCUAAUCAUCCAACUAAUCACGAUUAACUCACAUAACCCUAAUUAAUCAUUAAUUUUAAUGUUAAUCCUAGUGUUAACUAAAAUUGAAAGAAAGGGGAAAUUAGGUUAGCACUCCACACCAAUGAACUCUCAAACGGAUCUCUCUAUCGUGAACGGCGCAUCCCUUCAAUUCGCCUUCUAUACACAAGCUCAACAAUUUCGACACACGCAACUGAUUCGUACAGCGAAGAGGAGUCAUAAAGCAAAGGAAGUUGCUUACCUGGAUUUGCAGAGAAAUUAUAGAUCGAAGGGGAGAUUCCGAGCAGAAAGUCGAGAAUAAGCUUCGAUGUCAGAGACGAACCAAAGUUAAUUGAGAUUGUUGAAUCGUGUUACGAUGUGUCUUAAAGAUUUACUGAAGAGUGAGCGGUGGAAUUCGAUUCUUGUGAUUGAUGAAGAACUGAGAUGAAGAUUUUGGAGAUUGUGUCAAUGGAGGAAGUUGCAGAAGUGAAGACGAGUGUGAGUGGUUCAGUGGAGUUGAGAGGCUGAAGAAAGGUGGUGAUUUGCAGAGAAUGAGAGAAGGUUGAAGAUGAAGAAUUCAGAGAGAGUGAAUUGGAGAAGAUUGAAUGAUGGAGAAGGGUGAAGAAAUGGGGUGAGUGAACAAAAAUGGUGGAGGAGCUUGUAGAUUGGGGGGAGAAGAUAUUAUAUACAGGUUGAAGGGAUUGAGGAAGUUAGUUAUGAAUGGAGGGGUAGUUACACGAUUCUUUUAUGCAGUUAGAGAUGGGUGGUUAUGUCAUUUGGCAGUUGGAGGGCUGCGGACUGGAUUAGCUUGGGUGGGAGUUAAGAACUGAGCCGAUGUUUAUCUGUGAAGGUUGACGUUGUGCUGUCCAGUUAGCAAGCAGUUAAGGCAGCUUUUUGGAACAUGAAGUUGUUUGGAACAUGGAAUUGUGGCAGCAUUACUUGGUGUAUGGCAUGAAGUUGUUUGGAACAUGAUGCCUUGAAUUGUGGCAGCAUUGCAUGGUGUAUGGCAGCGAGCUGUUUGGAACCUGAUGUUUGAAGAUAUGAAUGCUACAGCUAGACUUUUAGGAUCCCAGCGGUCGGAAAUUGGGCCUAGACAACUCACCCGUGGGUUGGUUCGGUUCUGGAUUUUGGGCCCGAAUUCGAAUCGAACCGGUGCCCACCCCUACAUGAACCUUAUAAUUUCAAACUUAGAUGUACUUUGAACAUACUUAUGGUAACUUAUGAUUCAAGCAAUUAAUGAGGACUUUCCCUCCAUUUCAACUUAUGAUUAAAGCAAUUAAUGUGGACUUUCCCUCCAUUUCCAAUGUUCAAAUUCAAGUGUUUCCAA